RNAcentral lists this ribosomal RNA (468 nucleotides) under uncultured bacterium. Its description in RNAcentral is "partial 16S ribosomal RNA". It matches the Rfam family "Bacterial small subunit ribosomal RNA", at positions 28 to 507 of the family's 1533-position model. The record is from RNAcentral.
GACGAACGCUGGCGGCGUGCUUAACACAUGCAAGUCGAACGGAAAGGCCCUGCUUUUGUGGGGUGCUCGAGUGGCGAACGGGUGAGUAACACGUGAGUAACCUGCCCUUGACUUUGGGAUAACUUCAGGAAACUGGGGCUAAUACCGGAUAGGAGCUCCUGCUGCAUGGUGGGGGUUGGAAAGUUUCGGCGGUUGGGGAUGGACUCGCGGCUUAUCAGCUUGUUUGUGUGGUAGUGGCUUACCAAGGCUUUGACGGGUAGCCGGCCUGAGAGGGUGACCGGCAACAUUGGGACUGAGAUACGGCCCAGACGCCUACGGGAGGCAGCAGGGGGGAAUAUUGCACAAUGGGCGGAAGCCUGAUGCAGCAACGCCGCGUGCGGGAUGACGGCCUUCGGGUUGUAAACCGCUUUCGCCUGUGACGAAGCGUGAGUGACGGUAACGGGUAAAGAAGCACCGGCUAACUACGUG